AUUGCUUCUUGGCCUUUUGGUUUAGAUUAAGUGUAGUAUCUGUCCUUAACAGUUAAAUAUCUGAUAUGUACUCUAUCCAAGGACAUUACAUUAAAUGGAUUUUUGGAACUAGGAGAUGUAGUAAGAGCUUGCUCUGUCCAUUGCACACAUCGACCUGAUAUUUAAGUACUUCCGGAAAUUGUGCACCCCCU
This is a small nuclear RNA of Phyllostomus hastatus (greater spear-nosed bat), 191 nucleotides long. RefSeq annotates it as U2 spliceosomal RNA. Lineage: Eukaryota; Metazoa; Chordata; Mammalia; Chiroptera; Phyllostomidae. The transcript has a single exon. The record is from RefSeq and is a predicted model, not a curated record.